GUUUAAAGUAUGAUUACGAACAUCAAUUACAAACUAUAUGUCCUAUAAAAGUUGGAAAGAACUAUAUUGUCCAAUUGAUUCUGCAACUAUGAGUUCCCACACUAAUAUUGUCAUAGUCCGGCACUGAACUAUAUCUGUCUUUGUGUCAAUCCACCAAUCUGUCUGCACAGCGUUCCGUGUCUUGGGGUUCUGAUCCUGUUUUGGUUGACGGCUGCUCGGCUACCACAACUCAACUGGAUGGAAACAUUGGCAAGGUAGUAGUGGAAUGGAUUGGACUGGACUAUAAUUACGUAUUACGUUGUGCUUUGCGUUUUCUCGUAUUACCAGAACAUGUUUUUCUGGUUUCUGUGAAAUGCAUCUGUCAUUCUGUUCCAUGCCUAUUCACUCAAUUGUGUAUAGAGAAGAAGAUUUAUGACUUGACAUGACAUAUGACAUACAUAUAUUUUGAUGAAUAUGUGGAUAUUUAGCGGCAUUUUUCGUUCACUGAAGUGAUUUUGAUUUUACACUUUGAAAUAUAUAUUUAUAUCUGUGUGUUCAUCGUGUAAUAGUGUGAUCAAGUUAUUAGCUGCCUAGGAAUAUAGAAAUUACCCCUUCGAGAGCUUUUGGGAAACUUCAAACAUCAUCGUUUGUGGUUCUGUUGUGUCAGCAUUUAUGAAACUAGCGUUGUUUUCAUAAAUUAUUAGUGAAAUAUUUUCUGUAGGCUGCUUGGGAUUUGGAUUAUCUUAGUACUCAACGGUAUGACGGUGAUUCUGGAUUGUUUUGAGUAUUACAAUUCUAUUCACAUAUUAUGUCUGUGGAUGAUGUCUGCCCACACAGGAACUGUUUAUCAGCUACUCAGAACAACUGGUAACGCAACAACGUCAUCGUGCUGUCUAUGGUACGAUCUGCUGAAUGUCCUGGAGUGGAAAACCGUAACAGUGGUGAUGGAGUAGUGGAGUAGUGACUGCCUCGAAGUGCCUUGGGGUGUAGUGUUGCCUCGAUUGCAUGAAACAAGAGAGAAAUUCGGCAGUAAGUUCUUUCAUGAUAUAUUUUUAUUCUUAUAGCUAGGUUAUGUUACUAAUAAAUUCGAUAACAAAAAAAUCAACAAAAAUAACUGCAUUCCAUAGUUAACAAUCAUUUUACAUUUUAUUCUAAUUGGUUAGAGUACAUAUAAUAUACAUUAAAGUUAAUUUGACGAUAAAUAGCAGAUACCUUACAAACUUUCUUUUUCAACUUUGAAGCAUACUUUUUGAUUUAUGCUUGAACAUACUUUCAAAAUCCAUUGGUUCUUUAUGACACACCCAUUUUAACAUUAAUUUUUUUAUGUACAAUUUUUUACUGAUUCCUUACAGUAUUUGUUACCUGCCUAUUCAAUUGUCACCUCAUGUGAUAUACAUUUCACUGAAUAAUAGGAAAUUGAAAAUAGCAAUAGCAAUUUAUUUUCUUUUCAAUGAAA
This is a long non-coding RNA of Leptinotarsa decemlineata (Colorado potato beetle), 1435 nucleotides long. The record is from RefSeq and is a predicted model, not a curated record. NCBI's taxonomy places the organism in Eukaryota, Metazoa, Arthropoda, Insecta, Coleoptera, Chrysomelidae.